AUUGAACGCUGGCGGCAUGCCUUACACAUGCAAGUCGAACGGCAGCACGGGUGCUUGCACCUGGUGGCGAGUGGCGAACGGGUGAGUAAUACAUCGGAACAUGUCCUGUAGUGGGGGAUAGCCCGGCGAAAGCCGGAUUAAUACCGCAUACGAUCUACGGAUGAAAGCGGGGGACCUUCGGGCCUCGCGCUAUAGGGUUGGCCGAUGGCUGAUUAGCUAGUUGGUGGGGUAAAGGCCUACCAAGGCGACGAUCAGUAGCUGGUCUGAGAGGACGACCAGCCACACUGGGACUGAGACACGGCCCAGACUCCUACGGGAGGCAGCAGUCGGGAAUUUUGGACAAAGGGCGAAAGCCUGAUCCAGCAAUGCCGCGUGUGUGAAGAAGGCCUUCGGGUUGUAAAGCACUUUUGUCCGGAAAGAAAUCCUUGGCCCUAAUACGGUCGGGGGAUGACGGUACCGGAAGAAUAAGCACCGGCUAACUACGUG
RNAcentral lists this ribosomal RNA (486 nucleotides) under uncultured bacterium. RNAcentral describes it as "partial 16S ribosomal RNA". It matches the Rfam family "Bacterial small subunit ribosomal RNA", at positions 30 to 507 of the family's 1533-position model. The record is from RNAcentral.